UACAGAGGGUGCGAGCGUUGUCCGGAAUCACUGGGCGUAAAGGGCGCGUAGGUGGCGGCCCAAGUCCAUGGUGAAAGCUCGAUGCUCAACAUCGAGUCGGCCACGGAUACUGGGUUGCUCGAGCACUGUAGGGGCAGAUGGAAUUCCGGGUGUAGCGGUGGAAUGCGUAGAGAUCCGGAAGAACACCGGUGGCGAAGGCGGCCUGCUGGGCAGUAGCUGACACUGAGGCGCGACAGCGUGGGGAGCAAACAGG
Molecule: ribosomal RNA, 253 nt
Filed under: uncultured bacterium
Lineage: Bacteria
Description: partial 16S ribosomal RNA
Rfam family: Bacterial small subunit ribosomal RNA
Source: RNAcentral